RNAcentral lists this ribosomal RNA (327 nucleotides) under uncultured eukaryote. RNAcentral describes it as "partial 18S ribosomal RNA". It matches the Rfam family "Eukaryotic small subunit ribosomal RNA", at positions 1470 to 1796 of the family's 1831-position model. The record is from RNAcentral.
CCUUUAGAUGUUCUGGGCCGCACACGCGCUACACUGAAGGAGGCAGCGUGUACUCCUGGAUCGAAAGAUUUGGGUAACCCGCGAAUCUCCUUCGUGCUAGGGAUUGAGGUUUGCAAUUAUCCUUCAUGAACGAGGAAUUCCCAGUAAGUGCAAGUCAUAAGCUUGCGCUGACUACGUCCCUGCCCUUUGUACACACCGUCCGUCGCUACUACCGAUUGAAUGAUUUAGUGAGGACUUCGGACUGGGACCGAUGCGGCUUUCGGGCUGCGUCGGUAUUCUGGAAAGAUGUCCAAACUGUAUCAUUUAGAGGAAGUAAAAGUCGUAACA